Molecule: ribosomal RNA, 493 nt
Filed under: uncultured bacterium
Lineage: Bacteria
Description: bacterial SSU rRNA
Rfam family: Bacterial small subunit ribosomal RNA
Source: RNAcentral
AAAUGAAUUGACGGGGACCCGCACAAGCAGCGGAGCAUGUGGUUUAAUUCGAAGCAACGCGAAGAACCUUACCAAAACUUGACAUCCCUCUGACCGAUCCUUAAUCGGAUCUUCUCUUCGGAGCAGAGGUGACAGGUGGUGCAUGGUUGUCGUCAGCUCGUGUCGUGAGAUGUUGGGUUAAGUCCCGCAACGAGCGCAACCCCUAUUUUUAGUUGCCAGCAUUAAGGAUGGGCACUCUAAAGAGACUGCCGGGGAUAACUCGGAGGAAGGUGGGGAUGACGUCAAAUCAUCAUGCCCCUUAUGUUUUGGGCUACACACGUGCUACAAUGGCUGGUACAGAGAGCAGCGAGAGAGUGAUCUGGAGCAAAUCUUUAAAGCCAGUCUCAGUUCGGAUUGUAGGCUGCAACUCGCCUACAUGAAGUCGGAGUUGCUAGUAAUCGCAAAUCAGAAUGUUGCGGUGAAUGCGUUCCCGGGUCUUGUACACACCGCCCGU